Alligator mississippiensis (American alligator) is the source of this 1185-nucleotide long non-coding RNA. RefSeq lists it as uncharacterized. Lineage: Eukaryota; Metazoa; Chordata; Crocodylia; Alligatoridae. The record is from RefSeq and is a predicted model, not a curated record. The transcript is spliced from 3 exons.
CCUAUGUUUUUCCUGGUUGUUAAUCAGUUUCUUGAGAUGUUACAAACCAGAUAAACCCUUGUCAGUAGAAAAGACAAUCAUUUACACAAUCAAAAGAAUGCUUUGAAGAAUCUGAACUUAGGGUUUAAAAAACUGUAAAAGCAGCAAACAGUGCGCUUCAAGAGAGAAAUCUCUCUGACACCAUCCGCUGUUGUUCUCGAGAAGCUGGAAGAAACAGAUCAUCUCCUUUCAAGGAUUGUGCUAAGAACUUUACCUGUCAUCAUUGGAACCCCAGUGCCUUGGACUGAGUCUUAACAACUCGGGUGGACCAGGGAACCGAACCCAAUUUUCGAACCCACAGAGCUUAAACAACUCCAUGGGAAAGAAUUUGUCGUGAUGCUCCAACGAGGAUUUAAGCGGAGCUGCACCUGGAAAGCUGUCCAGCCUACACCACUACCAUCUUUGGGUAUUACUUCAGAAUGAGACCAGAUGUGUCAUAAGAUUGGCUUGACUAUAUCAUACUUUUCAACACAUCAAGUUUUCUUCGAAAGUUUCACUUUGUCUUUGACUAUCAGGAAAGAUUCACUGUUUGCCACUAUGUGGGGACUUCUAGAAACACUUCUCUUUCCCAAUAGAGCUUGACAGUUUUAGAGUUUAAAUUUUAAUUGUAGCAAUGUUUCCAAGGCAACUACGGUUUGGCAGCCCUUGAGCAAAAACAAAAAUAAAGAAAAAAAUGAAAUUUGCAUUUAGAUGGAGAGAUUUUUUUAGUUUUGAAAAGCAUAACAAGCAACAAACUAUGAUAACUUCUAGUCUCUGAAAUAACACCAGUUUGGAAUAAUGCCAACCAUGAUCAAAUUAGGGGACUGUCUCUUAUUUAAAUAUAUUCUUCAAUACCAGGCACAAUAUGUUCCUUUUUCUCAAUUUUGCGCCUUGCCUGUAGCAAGAGGCAAUAGAAACAAAUCAAAUCAGCUCGUUUUGUGCCAAAUCUGAGGAAUGAAUUGCUUUCAGUAAUGCACCUACACUUUCAGGCUGAAAGGAGAAAAUUGUUGGCCCCAUGACUUUUAAAGAUGUAAAGCGUUUAUUUUAUUCUUUAAGAAGCAGCCAGCCACAUAAGGCACUUGAACUGCACAGUUCAAGGAAAACAACAUGCUUUGAUGCUAAAUGAUGCAGCCUUAAGUGAAGUGAUUAAAUAGUUUGAUGGAUAAA